GUGGAUGUGGUGAAUUUCGAUACGACGGCGUUGGUGGCAAUGGUGUCAGGGAUAAGCAAUGGGGGGACUGAGAGGAUGAUGAAGACGUCGGAGGAGGAGAUGAGGCGCCGGUUUAAGGGGAACUACGAGUUUGUUAUGGCACAGGUGAUGUCAGAGCUUCACGAUCCAAUUAUUGUACAAUUUAUCGCUGUAGUAGCUGGAAAGAAAGGUAUAAUUUGUGAGAGCGUCUGUUCAGAGUUCAAGGAACUAGUUUCAAUGUGCGGAGGACCGAAUGAGAAGUGGAGAGCAGAGGAACUAGUAAAACAUCUCUUGGUUGUGCCAGACAGUCCAUCAGCACGAGUAAUGGAUCUUCCGACCACGAGAAAGAUAGCACUAAAGAAUAAGAUUGUUUUCGGGACAGGCGAUUAUUGGCAUGCACCGACUUUGACGGCAAAUAUGGGCUUCGCCAGAGCUAUCGCACAAACUGGUAUGUCAUUGUUGACCAUCGAACACAGUCCUCGUGCCCUGACUGGCGACUAACGAGUCCCGAGUGACUAUUAGUGCGAUCUUUAGCAAUACUAUGAGGGGACAAGGUAUGUAUAUUAUUGUAGUGUAUCUUCAAAUCACUAAAUU
This 612-nucleotide unclassified non-coding RNA is filed under the name Hevea brasiliensis (rubber tree). The record is from RNAcentral. Lineage: Eukaryota; Viridiplantae; Streptophyta; Magnoliopsida; Malpighiales; Euphorbiaceae.